GGAAGGUGUCCCGGGCUCCAGGGGCUGGGUUACUCUCCUGGCCUGGAUGCUGGCUCCUCCUCGACUACACCCAGGCGCGGCAGCUGCAGGACGCUGGAGGAGGAGGAGGGAGGGGCGAGCCCCACGCGGAAGUCAGGUAGGAGCACCCGCCGCUGGCAGCCACUCUCCUGGCCGCCAAACCCCAGCCGGAACUCCGGCCACAGCCAGCAUGCAGGGCAAAGAGAGCCUCCGGAUCCUGGUGGAGCCCGAAGGGGACAGCUUCCCGCUGAUGGAGAUCAGCACCUGUGAGACCGAGGCCUCCGAGCAGUGGGACUAUGUCCUCGUGGCCCAACGUCACACCCAGAGAGACCCCCGGCAGGCGCGGCAGCAACAGUUCCUGGAGGAGCUCAGGAGAAAGGGCUUCCACAUUAAGGUGAUCCGGGACCAGAAACAGGUCUUCUUUGGGAUCCGUGCUGACAACAGCGUCUUUGGCCUGUACCGCACUCUCCUCCUGGAGCCUGAGGGGCCUGCGCCCCACGCUGAGCUGGCCGCGCCGACCACCAUCCCGGUCACCACGAGUCUCAGAAUCCGAAUCGUGAACUUCGUUGUCAUGAACAACAAGACCUCGGCUGGUGAGACCUUCGAAGAUCUGAUGAAGGACGGGGUCUUCGAGGCCAGGUUCCCCCUGCACAAGGGGGAGGGACACCUGAAGAAGACGUGGGCGCGGUGGAGACACAUGUUCCGGGAGCAGCCAGUUGAUGAAAUCAGGAACUACUUUGGGGAAAAGGUGGCCCUGUACUUCGUCUGGCUGGGCUGGUACACCUACAUGCUGGUGCCGGCCGCCCUGACGGGCCUCUUAGUCUUUCUGAGCGGAUUCUCGCUGUUUGAGACCAGCCAGAUCAGCAAGGAGAUCUGUGAGGCCCACGACAUCCUCAUGUGUCCCCUUGGCGACCACAGCCGCAGGUACCAGCGGCUCUCGGAAACCUGCACUUUUGCCAAGCUCACCCACCUCUUUGACAAUGAUGGCACGGUGGUGUUCGCCAUCUUCAUGGCUCUCUGGGCCACGGUGUUCCUGGAGAUCUGGAAGCGGCAGCGCGCCCGCGUGGUCCUGCACUGGGACCUGUACGUGUGGGACGAGGAACAGGAGGAAAUGGCACUUCAGCUCAUUAACUGCCCCGACUACAAGCUCCGGCCAUACCAGCACUCCUACCUACGCAGCACCGUCAUCCUCGUCCUGACCCUGCUCAUGAUCUGCCUCAUGAUCGGCAUGGCCCACGUCCUGGUGGUCUACCGCGUCCUGGCCUCCGCGCUCUUCAGCAGCUCGGCCGUGCCCUUCCUGGAGGAGCGGGUGACCACGGCCGUGGUGGUGACCGGGGCUCUGGUGCACUAUGUGACCAUCGUCAUCAUGACCAAGAUCAACAGGCGCGUGGCCCUGAAGCUUUGUGACUUCGAGAUGCCCAGGACCUUCUCGGAGCGAGAGAGCAGGUUCACCAUCCGCUUCUUCACGCUGCAGUUCUUCACCCAUUUCUCGUCUCUCAUCUACAUCGCCUUCAUCCUGGGCAGGAUCAACGGCCACCCCGGGAAGUCCACGCGCCUGGCGGGCUUGUGGAAGCUGGAAGAGUGCCACGCCAGCGGCUGCAUGAUGGACCUCUUCGUGCAGAUGGCCAUCAUCAUGGGCCUGAAGCAGACGCUCAGCAACUGCGUCGAGUACCUGGUCCCGUGGGUGACCCACAAGUGCCGCUCUCUGCGGGCCUCCGAGUCCGGGCACCUGCCCCGGGACCCCGAGCUCAGGGACUGGCGGCGCAACUACCUUCUGAACCCGGUCAACACCUUCAGCCUGUUCGACGAGUUCAUGGAGAUGAUGAUCCAGUACGGCUUCACCACCAUCUUCGUGGCUGCCUUCCCGCUGGCGCCGCUGCUCGCGCUCUUCAGCAACCUCGUGGAGAUCCGCCUGGACGCCAUCAAGAUGGUCUGGUUGCAGCGGCGCCUGGUGCCGCGCAAGGCCAAGGACAUCGGGACCUGGCUGCAGGUGCUGGAGACCAUCGGUGUGCUGGCGGUCAUUGCCAAUGGGAUGGUCAUUGCCUUCACAUCUGAGUUCAUCCCCCGAGUGGUCUACAAGUACCGCUAUAGCCCAUGCCUGAAAGAAGGCAACUCUACCGUCGAGCUAGAAGCACUCUGGGGCCUGAAGGGGCCGCCCUAGAAGCCCACCCCACCCCACACUCCUCUCCCGUCUCCCCAGCUGCCUCAAGGGCUACGUCAACCACAGCCUGUCCGUCUUCCACACCAAGGACUUCCAGGACCCUGAUGGGAUUGAGGGCUCAGAAAACGUGACUCUGUGCAGAUACAGGGACUACCGCAAUCCCCCCGAUUACAACUUCUCCGAGAAGUUCUGGUUCCUCCUGGCCAUCCGCCUGGCCUUCGUCAUCCUCUUUGAGCACGUGGCCUUGUGCAUCAAGCUCAUUGCUGCCUGGUUCGUGCCCGACAUCCCUCAGUCGGUGAAGAACAAGGUUCUGGAGGUGAAGUACCAGAGGCUGCGUGAGAAGAUGUGGCAUGGAAGGCAGAGGCUGGGCGGGGUGGGGGCAGGCUCUCGGCCCCCGAUGCCUGCCCAUCCCACCCCAGCAUCCAUCUUCAGUGCCAGGAGCACAGACGUGUAGGGCCAGAGCCCGUCCAGAGGCCACCAGGAGCUGACAGUGCCACCACCAGCACCUCCCACAAGCCCACCGCUGUGCGUGUUGAGGGGUGCCGUGAGAAGUCUGUGCCCACGUGGGGCUGCAGGAGUCCCCUGUAUGUUCAGGGCUGUGAGCUGCCACCCUAUUCUGCCUGCUUCGUCUUUGUGGGGGCUCUCAGGCUUGGCACAGCCCUGACUUGAACUCUGGGUGACCCCGGGCACCCACAGAACUGGGAGUGAGGGCUCCUCAGGCAGCCACAAGGCAGGAAAACUGGCACAAGUUUCCUGGGCCUCCCUCUGACUUCUGGGCGCCAGAUCCUGCCGUGCCCCCAUCCUGGCUGUUGGGGGUGUCCUGAGCCCACCUCGCUGGCCUGUUCCCUUCAGCCAGCCCCAGUUUCUGUAAUAAAAUUAAACCUGUC
This is an RNA transcript of Pan troglodytes (chimpanzee), 3066 nucleotides long. It is a transcript of the gene named anoctamin 9, with no coding region annotated. The record is from RefSeq and is a predicted model, not a curated record. The transcript has 23 exons. Lineage: Eukaryota; Metazoa; Chordata; Mammalia; Primates; Hominidae.